Molecule: RNA transcript, 2648 nt
Organism: Coffea eugenioides
Lineage: Eukaryota; Viridiplantae; Streptophyta; Magnoliopsida; Gentianales; Rubiaceae
Gene name: transcription factor PIF1
Exons: 9
Source: RefSeq, a predicted model, not a curated record
ACAAAAAUAGAACUAUAGAAGAAAAGAAACGGAGACGGACAGAGAGAAGCUCCUCCCUCUCGUGCUCUCUGCACCUUAUCUUCGACCCCCACCCAAAACCAAAAUAUAUACUCCUACAUAUAUAACACUAAAGCUGGAUCAUAUUAGUAGUAGUAUUAACUGGUCCUGAUACAAGCAAAUAUUAUUGUAAUCAAUCAUUCCCCAUCCCUCAUCCUAACUGCUGCUAGCUGUUUCUACAAGACCACCCCCAAAACCCCGACCCCUUUUUCCCUCUUCUAACUUGUACCACAUCCUAGAGGGGAAAAAUUAAAAUAAAAAGACUUGCAAGCAAAGCAAACCAGACGAACUGUUGUCUCACCGACUUAUCAAGCUUCUACUCUCCUCCAGCUUAAUUACAGGGAGUAUAUAUCAUAUAUGUGCAGCGGCUUCUUGAUGAUGAUGGUGAUGAUAUAUGUGGAGGCAGGUGAAGAGUAGCCUCUGAUGUAGCAAUAGCGGUAGUAUAUGCCACUACUAGGGAUUAUAGAGUAGGUCGCAGCCUAGCUAGAGCUAGAGCUAGAGCUACAGGGAGGGAGGGAUUAAUCAAUCAUGAAUCAUUGCGUUCCGGAUUUUGAAAUGGAUGACGAUUAUGGAAUCCCUACUUCUUCUUCCGCAGCCUCCUUAAUUAUUGCCAGUACCACUGCCAGACCCAAGAAGCCAGCAAUAGGUGAAGAAGAGAUCAUGGAGCUGCUAUGGCAGAACGGGCAGGUGGUCUUCCAAAGCCAGAAUCAAAGAUCAUUCAAGAAAUCUCCCAACCGCGGCCGAGAGCCUGAUCAACUACACCAAUCCGGUGCUUCUAGAGAGAUCCCAUCCAUACUAGAAAAUGACAACCUAUCGGCGCCGCCGCCGCAGCAGCUCUUCAUGCAAGAAGACGAGAUGGCCUCUUGGCUUCACUAUCCUCUCGACGACUCCUCCUUCGACCGCGACCUCUACUCCGAUCUCCUCUAUCCUCCGCCGCCUUCAGCUUCCACCACCAUGACGCCAACUCCCUCCGCUCCUCCCAGAGAACUCCGCACAACUGUCGUGGAGAUCCGCCCGCCGCCAGCCGUUAUUCCUCCUCGACCCCCUGUACCUCCUCCUUCGAAACGCACCUACCCAAUAGAGGCAGCUGCUCCUAGGCUUCAAAACUUCAUGCACUUCUCCAGACUGCCCAAAUCCAGGAACGAGUCCGGAUACACGAGGGAAUUGACGGUGGUGGACUCCAAUGAGACGCAAAAAACGGUGCCGGAAUCGAGGGUUCCUGAAGGGGAUGUAAGAUGCGGAGCCGUGAGCUGCACUGCAGCUGCGGCUACCUCUGCUGCAGCUAGGGACUUGGCGACCACGGCCUGUGAACUCACCGUCACGUCGUCCUCCGGGGCCUCCGGGGGUAGCGUCAGUGCAACCGCGGAGCCGCAUCACCGGCCGCCGACUUCAAUUCAUAAACCGAGCACGUCCGGGGAGGAAGACCGGAAGCGUAAAGGAAGAGAAACGGAGGAGACGGAUUGUCCUAGUGAGGAUAUCGAGUUUGAGUCAGCUGAUGCAAAAAGGCAAGCCCGUGGAUCAACAUCUACAAAGAGAUCCCGUGCUGCAGAGGUUCACAAUCUCUCAGAAAGAAGGCGUCGAGACAGGAUAAAUGAAAAGAUGAGGGCCUUGCAAGAACUCAUACCUCGUUGCAACAAGUCAGACAAGGCUUCAAUGCUGGAUGAGGCGAUUGAGUACUUGAAAUCGCUACAGCUGCAAGUGCAGUUGAUGUCAAUGGGAUGUGGCAUGCUCCCGAUGAUGUAUCCCAGUGUACAGCAGUACAUGCCAGCAAUGGGUAUGGGCAUGGGCAUGGGCAUGGGCAUGGAUUUGGGUAUGAACCGUCCAGUGAUGCCAUAUCCAUCUCUUAUACCCGGUUCGGGAAUGCCAAGCCCGGCUGUAGCAGCAAACAUGGGGCCAAGAUUUCCCAUGCCAGCAUUUCAUAUGCAACCGGUUCCGGUUCCUGACUCUUCCAGAAUCCAAGCUUCCAAUCAGCUGGAUCCAAUGCUGAACUCACUAGUGACGCCUAAUCCAAAUCAGCCACGAGUUCCAAAUUUUGCUGAUCCCUAUCAGCAGUUCAUUGGUCUCCACCAAGCACAAAUACCAUUACCACAGAAUCAAGUGGUAGUACAGCCCAGCAAGCCGAAUAGUAGCAGAGAAGUUGGGAAUCUUGAUAAUCAUCAAUCUGGUUAGUCGGGGGUGGAUUGAUGGCAAAGCCGUCCAAGAACUAAAUUUUGUAGCCUAAUGGAGGAAAGGAGACUCAGUUGAGCUCGAUUGUAAGCCGGCCUCACCCUGUGAUUUGAGAGCUGUAGUAUUUACUAAAAUAUUGUUUGAGGCUCCCACCCAUGGCAAGAGAGAGAAUAAAUUCUAGUUGCCUCCCGCUCUUGUUCCCUUGAACAUCCAUGCUCAUCGCCUAUCUUUCAUAGCUGUUUUGUUCUGGAUGAUUUAUUCCCUUCCGGAGCUCAUUUUCAGGUGGAUGACCGAGUUGUGUAGCUGAGUAAAUAGUAGUUAUACUCUGUGGAGUUUCGUUUAGACUUAAUCAAAAGCACCCGUAGACGGCUAUAUAGAGCUGUCACCUGUUCCUAAUAAAUACCAAUUCAUGUUUUUGCUUCUGC